GCCAUCAUUACAUAAUUUUAUUUGUACAAAGGAAAUGGAAUAAAAUUUCCUUGUACAUCCUCUCUCUGUUUUUCAUUUUUAUUCUCUAACAGAACUUCCUCCUUUCCUUUUUCAUCACCAUACAUCAUUAAGAUUAACAUGUAAUGAGCUCUUACCUUCUUACACUGCAUCUUCUAAGAAGAAAAGGCAUAAGACCAAAGAAGGAGACCACAGGGAUGAAGAGUGGUGAAGAGCAAGCAGUUGUGAAUUUCCAAGAAAUAUUUAUGAGCUGAUUUAAAUAUUAAUGAGCUGGUAGUCUGACAGCAAAGAGAAGACUAAGUCACAGCACAAAAUCUCAGCUUGGCUGUAGGUUGUCUUGUACUGCCACAAGCUGUACAGUAAAAUGGCCACAUUCUAAGCCUCUUGCUAAACAGGCAUCUCAAAAUUCUGAAUCAACCAAAUAGUCUGUCCUGACUAGUUUCUAUGCAGCAGCAUGAACAGCGUCUCAAGAGUAUAGUAAGAGGUAAUUUAUCUGAAAAUGUCUCCUGUCCCAGCCUGACUGCAGAAAAAUACUUCAGUUGCCUAUGGGCUGCCAUAAACGAAGUUGCUUUGCUCCAGCAUGCCCUUCUAUUAUGAUGUUUCUGCCUCGGAGCCAGUCAGCCACUGUGACUCCUCUGAAACCCUGAGCCUAAUUAAACCUCUCCAAGUUGCAUGUGUUAUGUGGGCAUCGAAUCACUGUGGGUCCCAGUGACUAGAGAACUGACUGAUACAAUAUCUAAAACAAAAUAAAUCAAUAUGUU
Cavia porcellus (domestic guinea pig) is the source of this 779-nucleotide long non-coding RNA. RefSeq lists it as uncharacterized. The transcript has 3 exons. Lineage: Eukaryota; Metazoa; Chordata; Mammalia; Rodentia; Caviidae. The record is from RefSeq and is a predicted model, not a curated record.